RNAcentral lists this ribosomal RNA (1325 nucleotides) under metagenome. RNAcentral's name for it is "bacterial LSU rRNA". It matches the Rfam family "Bacterial large subunit ribosomal RNA", at positions 1580 to 2925 of the family's 2925-position model. The record is from RNAcentral.
AAAGUAGCGAAGCACACAGACCAUCUGUCGAGAAAAGCCGCUAUUGUGUAUACCGUACCCGUACCGUAAACCGACACAGGUGGAUGAGGAGAGAAUCCUAAGGCCGGCGGGAGAAGCAUUGUUAAGGAACUCGGCAAAAUGACCCCGUAACUUCGGGAGAAGGGGUGCUCACGCAAGUGAGCCGCAGAGAACUGGCCCAAGCAACUGUUUAGCAAAAACACAGGUCUAUGCAAAACCGAAAGGUGAGGUAUAUGGGCUGACGCCUGCCCGGUGCUGGAAGGUUAAGAGGAGAUGUUAGAGCAAUCGAAGCAUUGAAUUUAAGCCCCAGUAAACGGCGGCCGUAACAUAACGGUCCUAAGGUAACGAAAUUCCUUGUCGGGUAAGUUCCGACCCGCACGAAAGGCGUAAUGAUUUGGGCACUGUCUCGACAAUGCACCCGGUGAAAUUGAAAUACCAGUGAAGAUGCUGGUUACCUGCGCCAGGACGGAAAGACCCCAUGGAGCUUUACUCUAGCUUGAUACUGGGAUUCUGUAUUGCAUGUACAGGAUAGGUGGGAGACUAAGAGGUGAUGACGCCAGUUGUCACGGAGUCGAUGUUGGGAUACCACCCCUGCAGUACUGGGUUUCUAACCUGCGGCCGUGACCCGGCCGGGGGACAAUGUCUGGUGGGGAGUUUGACUGGGGCGGUCGCCUCCGAAAGGGUAUCGGAGGCGCUCAAAGGUUCCCUCAGAAUGGUUGGAAACCAUUCGAAGAGUGCAAAGGCAGAAGGGAGCUUGACUGCGACACCGACGGGUGGAGCAGGUACGAAAGUAGGACUUAGUGAUCCGGUGGUAUGAAAGUGGGAUUGCCAUCGCUCAACGGAUAAAAGCUACCCUGGAUAACAGGCUUAUCACUCCCAAGAGUUCACAUCGACGGAGUGGUUUGGCACCUCGAUGUCGGCUCAUCGCAUCCUGGGGCUGUAGUAGGUCCCAAGGGUUGGGCUGUUCGCCCAUUAAAGCGGUACGCGAGCUGGGUUCAGAACGUCGUGAGACAGUUCGGUCCCUAUCCGGCGUGGGCGUAGGAUAUCUGAGAGGAGCUGUCCUUAGUACGAGAGGACCGGGAUGGACUGACCUCUGGUGCAUCGGUUGAGCCACCAGGCUCAUGGCCGAGUAGCCAAGUCGGGACGGGAUAAACGCUGAAGGCAUCUAAGCGUGAAGCCCCCCUCAAGAUGAGAUAUCCCAUAGAGUAAUCUAGUAAGACCCCUUGAAGACGACGAGGUAGAUAGGCAGAAGGUGGAAGUGUGGUGACAUAUGGAGCUGAUCUGUACUAAUAGGUCGAGGGCUUAAC